Long non-coding RNA from Hyla sarda, 1679 nucleotides. RefSeq lists it as uncharacterized. NCBI's taxonomy places the organism in Eukaryota, Metazoa, Chordata, Amphibia, Anura, Hylidae. The transcript is spliced from 5 exons. The record is from RefSeq and is a predicted model, not a curated record.
UUUGAUUCCUUUGUUAUUUUGAACACUCUCGGACAGUUUCCUCUUUCUGCAUAUCUCUGGCCUGAAUCUCUGUUCUCAUUUUGCAUCCAUUCUGUAAGUAUUAUGAUGGUUUUGUAUGACUCGGCUUCUGAUUUUUUUGUUGUCUGCAAACUGUAAACUGUUACUACUGAAGACCAAUCCAGGGACACUGUUUGGGAAUUUACUAAGAAACGUCCAUAGCUCCAUAAGGAACAUUGCAAAGUGAAGAGUGAAGCAUUCCUGACUCUACGGCUUCCAGUCAUAAUGGGAAAUUGCCUCAGAGGGUGGCCUCAGUCUACUCCCGGCAGUCGGGACAGAAGAGGAGGGGCAAGGAGAGGUUGCACAGUGCUGGCUUUAAGGAGUAGUAGAUGGCCUGCAGGUGCCCAUCACCACCCCCAUCACCAUCAUCCGCCACAUCAUCAUAUAGGUCCACAUCAUGGCCCACAUGGACACUUUGGACAUCAUGGACAUCAUGGACAUCACGGUCAUCAUGGACAUCACGGACAUCAUGGACAUCACGGACAUCAUGGCCACCAUUAAUCCUGUAUAGGAAUCUCACAGCACUGAAGUGAAAUGAAAAUAUGCAAGAAGAUUGUCAGGCUACAUUUACCUCAUAUCGAUUUAUAAACUGACAAAUCUGUUGAAUUGUAUGAUAUAUUUUUAAUGCACUAUAUUAAUGGAUUGUUGCUUAUUUAUUACAUAAAUGGUUUCCUAUAAUUUGUUCUUUUUCCAACAAAAUUGCUUAAAAAGCAUUCAACAUUAUGAGCCACAAAAUUCUGGCCAAAAUAAAAUUGCUAUUUCUAAAUGUAUCCUUAAAACCAGCAAAUAGCUUUUCCACUAUGAAGAGAUUGACAUUUCUUUGGAUGACCCCUUUUUUUAUUUAUUUUAUAAGUGUUAAAUUCAUCCUUUUUCCAAGAAAAGGUGUUGGGGGAAGAAUAGUGUCACAUCUUGUACCUUCUUUUGGUGUCUCCCAGCAUAUUUGAUGCUAUCAUACAAUAUACAAAUCACCAUGCCAAAUGGUCCCCAAAUUCAAACACCAUAUAGAAUGAUGCGCAAAUAACAAUGGCAUGUGUUUUCUAAAUAAUGGUUACAAAUAGUUACAUAAAUAAUUAUAAUAUACAGAGUGCCCAAAGAGCAGUACCAUAUAAUGUAAAUACCACCAUACAAUGUUUGAAUAUAUAUAUACAUAUAUUUGUGUUGGUCACAAGGUGACAGGCCAUCUGAAGCUCCCCUUUUACUAGGGAUACUCGCACACACCUAAUACAGUGAUCCCUCAACUUACAAUGGCCUCAACAUACAAUAGUUUCAACAUACAAUGGUCUUUUCUGGAUCAUUGUAACUUGAAACCAGACUCAACAUACAAUGCUACAGAUAGUCCAGAUCUGCAAAACGUGCCACAACUGGAGGAAUUGACCAUUUUCAGAUCAGAAUUGGCAUUUUACUGGUAAAUCACCUCUAUUACUGAAGCGUAUGCACUGACUGGUGUCUGGUAGUGCCCCCUACAGUACAGGGAGGAACUACAAGUUCUGUACUACUCCUUACCUGUGCCAGGGUUAGCUGCUCCUUUGGACACCAAGUAAGGGCGGCUCCAUUUGGGACACUAUGUGUACUGUAUAGGACCCUGAAGAAGCUCCUGUUCUCUACAUAAAACAUUGUUUCCC